CUCGUCGUAUUGACUGCAUCGCGUGUCGCCCUUUUCCGGUUGAUCCUGCCGGACCCGACUGCUAUCAGAAUAGGACUAAGCCAUGCGAGUCAACGUACAUAGUAGCAAUACUACGUGGCAUACGGCUCAGUAACACGUAGUCAACAUGCCCAGGGGACGUGGAUAACCUCGGGAAACUGAGGAUAAACCGCGAUAGGUCAUAAUGUCUGGAAUGAUUUAUGGCUGAAAUCUACAUGGCCUCUGGAUUGGACUGCGGCCGAUCAGGCUGUUGGUGAGGUAAUGGCCCACCAAACCUAAAACCGGUACGGGCUCUGAGAGGAGGAGCCCGGAGAUGGGCACUGAGACAAGGGCCCAGGCCCUAUGGGGCGCAGCAGGCGCGAAACCUCUGCAAUAGGCGAAAGCUUGACAGGGUUAUUCUGAGUGGUUUCCGCUAAGGAAAUCUUUUGGCACCUCUAAAAAUGGUGCAGAAUAAGGGGUGGGCAAGCCUGGUGUCAGCCGCCGCGGUAAUACCAGCACCCCGAGUGGUCGGGACGAUUAUUGGGCCUAAAGCAUCCGUAGCCGGUUCUGCAAGUCUUCCGUUAAAUCCACCUGCUCAACAGUUGGGCUGCGGAGGAUACUAUAAAGCUAGGAGGCGGGAGAGGCAAGCGGUACUUAGUGGGUAGGGGUAAAAUCCGUUGAUCCACUGAAGACCACCAGUGGCGAAGGCGGCUUGCCAGAACGCGCUCGACGGUGAGGGAUGAAAGCUGGGGGAGCAAACCGGAUUAGAUACCCGGGUAGUCCCAGCUGUAAACGAUGCAGACUCGGUGAUGAAUAAGCUUCGUGCUUAUUCAGUGCCGCAGGGAAGCCGUUAAGUCUGCCGCCUGGGGAGUACGGUCGCAAGACUGAAACUUAAAGGAAUUGGCGGGGGAGCACCACAAGGGGUGAAGCCUGCGGUUCAAUUGGAGUCAACGCCGGGAAUCUUACCGGGGGCGACAGCAGAGUGAAGGUCAAGCUGAAGACUUUACUAGACAAGCUGAGAGGAGGUGCAUGGCCGUCGCCAGCUCGUGCCGUGAGGUGUCCUGUUAAGUCAGGUAACGAGCGAGACCCCUGCUUCUAGUUGCUACUUUUAUUCUUCGGAGUAAAGGGGCUAAUUAGAAGGACUGCCGCCGCUAAGGCGGAGGAAGGAGGGGGCUACGGCAGGUCAGUAUGCCCCGAAACCCUCGGGCCACACGCGGGCUGCAAUGGUAAGUACAAUAGGUUCCGAUUUCGAAAGGAGGAGGCAAUCCGCAAAACUUACCACAGUUAUGAUUGAGGGCUGAAACUCGUCCUCAUGAAUAUGGAAUCCCUAGUAAUCGCGUGUCAUCAUCGCGCGGUGAAUACGUCCCUGCUCCUUGCACACACCGCCCGUCGCUUCAUCGAAGUUGGUUUUAGGCGAGGUGGUGCGAUUUGGCAUUAUCGAACCUGAGGUCAGCAACGAGGGAGAAGUCGUAACAAGGUAACCAAGGGCGACACGCGAUUGCAGCGAGCCUCAGACACUGGCCGUCU
Molecule: ribosomal RNA, 1524 nt
Filed under: uncultured archaeon
Lineage: Archaea
Description: bacterial SSU rRNA
Rfam family: Archaeal small subunit ribosomal RNA
Source: RNAcentral